CCCGGCGAAAUUGAGAUGGCUGUGAAGACGCGGCCUGGUUGUCCUAGGACAAAAAGACCCCGGGAGCUUUACUGUAGCUUCGCAUUUGAAAGCUUUUUUCAACUGUCGAGAAUAGGAGGGACCCCGCCGCAAGGCGGGGGUCAGUGAAAUACCUCUCUUUGAAAUGGGUAAUCAUUAUUCUUAUCCCGCAUAAAAAUCCGGGAAGAAAACAGUGCGUGGUGGGCAGUUUAACUGGGGAGGUUGACUCCUAAAUUGCAACGGAGUUGUACAAAGGUUGGCUUAACGCGGAUGGAAAUCGCGUUGUAAGUGCAUAGGCAUAAGCCAGCUUGACUGUGAGACUCACAAGUCGAGCAGGUACGAAAGUAGGUCUAAGUGAUCCUGCGUUCCUUAUUGGUCGGGACGCAGCUUAACGGAUAAAAGCUACCCCGGGGAUACAAUUUACUGUGUCCGGGUCUUAUGGUAACAUAAGGCCAGGCAUACGGCUAAUAACGGUGGAGCCCUCUUGCUUUGGUUUUGGUCUUUUCCAUAAUCGAGGGAGGCAAAGGGUAAUACCGUGGGAAGUCUUCAGUUAUCGGUUCUCGGUUUUCAGUGUUCGGAAUCUGGUCUAUCAGUUUGCAGUUUAUCAGACUGACAAACAGACAACCGGUAAACGAAUAUCUGACAACCGACAACAGAAAACAGAUAACCGUCGACCCCGUAUCGACUGAUGUUCCAUUCAUGGAACUGAGAUAGAAGUUGUUUCUUGUUACAUUAACAAGAAAAUUUAUGACUUUUAUCACACGCCGUACUCCCGAUUUUAUCGGGAUGAAGAUAUAGUCAGUGCAGCAAGAAAUUGCUGAUUUGUCAUUCCGAUUUAAUCGGAAUAACAUGAACAGGCUGAUCGCCUCCAAGCGUCCAUAGCGACGAGGCGGUUUGGCACCUCGAUGUCGGCUCAUCUUAGCGCGGGGGUGAAGAAGCUCCCAAGCGUCGGGCUGUUCGCCCGUUAAAAAGGUACGCGAGCUGGGUUCAGAACGUCGUAAGACAGUAGACCUAUGGUUAAUAGACAAUUACCAUAAAAGAGCUGUCUCUCUUCAGCGUUUUGUAACUAAAGAGGAAAAUUGAAGAGCCCCGAUUUUAUCGGGGAUAAAUCUUGCUAUAUGCUGGAAACUCCGAGUAUUCUAAGCUACUUGACAAGCACAGUAAAUAGAGAUAAUCUAUCUCUAUGUCAAGUAAAAAAGCUUUAGAUGCGGACAAUCAGCAGGCAAUUGAGAAUAAAGUUUCAAACGAAUAUCUGAGUGGUUUUGUAGACGGUGAAGGGUGUUUUUAUGUAGGAUUUGGGAAACGAGAAGAUCUCCCGCUUAAAUGGCAAAUAAUAACAGAAUUCCACUUAAGUCAAAAUCCUGGAGGGAAGAACGUUCUUGAAGAAUUUUCUAGAAGAUUAGGUUGUGGUUAUUUAAAACCUAACCAUCCAGGAAGUUCAAAAGAUAAAUCUUGGGUCUUAAUUGUUAAAGACAGAAAGAAUUUAAAAGAGAAAUUAAUUCCCUUUUUUAAGAAAUACCCAUUACAUACAUCGAAAAGAGUAGAGUUAUCGAUUUUUGAGUUCGUGCUUUCACUGAUAGAAAAGAAAGAGCAUUUAACUCGAGAAGGAUUUCAACAAAUAGUUGAAAAAGUAUUUCAAAACCCACGAGUUACCAAUAAAAGAUAUUCAAAAGAAGUUUUAUUGUCUUAAGAGCCUCAGAGACUAUACGCAAGAUCCCAUCCCAUUAGAUAAUUUAUCUAACGGGACGGGAAAGAUAUAGUCCGAACUGCAUAGCGAUAUGCAGAGUCUACUAGAAAUAGUAGACCGUGUUCGCCUUAGGCGGACUAGUAACAUUAUUGUCGGUCUCUAUCCAGGACAACCGAUUUGAGAUUUGAAGGGAGCUGUCCCUAGUACGAGAGGACUGGGAUGGGGGAAUCCCUGGUGUGCCGGUUGUGUGAAAACACGCAGCGCCGGAUAGCUAGAUUCCCAUGGGAUAACCGCUGAAAGCAUCUAAGUGGGAAGCCCACCCUAAGAUAAGAUCUCUUUGGCCCCUCCGAAACCAGGAGGUUGAUAGGUAGCAGGUGUAAGACCGGUAACGGUUUCAGCUUAGCUAUACUAAUAGGCC
RNAcentral lists this ribosomal RNA (2123 nucleotides) under Candidatus Levybacteria bacterium RIFCSPHIGHO2_01_FULL_38_96. RNAcentral describes it as "partial 23S ribosomal RNA". It matches the Rfam family "Bacterial large subunit ribosomal RNA", at positions 2032 to 2911 of the family's 2925-position model. The record is from RNAcentral. Lineage: Bacteria; Candidatus Levyibacteriota.